RNAcentral lists this transfer RNA (72 nucleotides) under Daphnia pulex (common water flea). It matches the Rfam family "tRNA". Rfam says of the family: Transfer RNA (tRNA) molecules are approximately 80 nucleotides in length. Their secondary structure includes four short double-helical elements and three loops (D, anti-codon, and T loops). Further hydrogen bonds mediate the characteristic L-shaped molecular structure. tRNAs have two regions of fundamental functional importance: the anti-codon, which is responsible for specific mRNA codon recognition, and the 3' end, to which the tRNAs corresponding amino acid is attached (by aminoacyl-tRNA synthetases). tRNAs cope with the degeneracy of the genetic code in two manners: having more than one tRNA (with a specific anti-codon) for a particular amino acid; and 'wobble' base-pairing, i.e. permitting non-standard base-pairing at the 3rd anti-codon position. Lineage: Eukaryota; Metazoa; Arthropoda; Branchiopoda; Diplostraca; Daphniidae. The record is from Rfam by way of RNAcentral.
GGUGUUAUGGUGUAAUGGAUAGCAUUUCAAACUCUGACUCUGACAAUCUGAGUUCAAAUCUCAGUAGGACCU